Molecule: ribosomal RNA, 529 nt
Filed under: uncultured Alteromonadaceae bacterium
Lineage: Bacteria; Pseudomonadati; Pseudomonadota; Gammaproteobacteria; Alteromonadales; Alteromonadaceae
Description: bacterial SSU rRNA
Rfam family: Bacterial small subunit ribosomal RNA
Source: RNAcentral
UAGGGUUCGAUUAUGGCUCAGAUUGAACGCUGGCGGCAGGCUUAACACAUGCAAGUCGAGCGGAAACGAUGAUAGCUUGCUAUCAGGCGUCGAGCGGCGGACGGGUGAGUAAUGCUUAGGAAUCUGCCCAGUAGUGGGGGACAACAGUCGGAAACGGCUGCUAAUACCGCAUACGCCCUACGGGGGAAAGCAGGGGAUCUUCGGACCUUGCGCUAUUGGAUGAGCCUAAGUCGGAUUAGCUAGUUGGUGAGGUAAAGGCUCACCAAGGCGACGAUCCGUAGCUGGUUUGAGAGGAUGAUCAGCCACAUCGGGACUGAGACACGGCCCGAACUCCUACGGGAGGCAGCAGUGGGGAACAUUGGACAAUGGGGGCAACCCUGAUCCAGCCAUGCCGCGUGUGUGAAGAAGGCUUUCGGGUUGUAAAGCACCUUCAGCGAGGAGGAAGGCUCUAAAGUUAAUACCUUUAGGGAUUGACGUUACUCGCAGAAGAAGCACCGGCUAACUCCGUGCCAGCAGCCGCGGUAAUACA